This 73-nucleotide transfer RNA is filed under the name Microceramus pontificus. RNAcentral's name for it is "tRNA-Ile". Lineage: Eukaryota; Metazoa; Mollusca; Gastropoda; Stylommatophora; Urocoptidae. The record is from RNAcentral.
AUGGGCAGCCGCCGGAGGACGGAUAUUGUUGAUGUCAAUAAAUACAAAGUUUUUAAUAGCUUUGCUGCUUUUG